Molecule: ribosomal RNA, 496 nt
Filed under: uncultured bacterium
Lineage: Bacteria
Description: partial 16S ribosomal RNA
Rfam family: Bacterial small subunit ribosomal RNA
Source: RNAcentral
AUGAACGCUGGCGGCGUGCCUAAUACAUGCAAGUCGAGCGAACAGAUAGGGAGCUUGCUCCUUUGACGUUAGCGGCGGACGGGUGAGUAACACGUGGGUAACCUACCUAUAAGACUGGGAUAACUUCGGGAAACCGGAGCUAAUACCGGAUAACAUUUGGAACCGCAUGGUUCUAAAGUGAAAGAUGGUUUUGCUAUCACUUAUAGAUGGACCCGCGCCGUAUUAGCUAGUUGGUAAGGUAACGGCUUACCAAGGCGACGAUACGUAGCCGACCUGAGAGGGUGAUCGGCCACACUGGAACUGAGACACGGUCCAGACUCCUACGGGAGGCAGCAGUAGGGAAUCUUCCGCAAUGGGCGAAAGCCUGACGGAGCAACGCCGCGUGAGUGAUGAAGGGUUUCGGCUCGUAAAACUCUGUUAUUAGGGAAGAACAAAUGUGUAAGUAACUGUGCACGUCUUGACGGUACCUAAUCAGAAAGCCACGGCUAACUACGUG